Non-coding RNA from Callithrix jacchus (white-tufted-ear marmoset), 1743 nucleotides. NCBI's taxonomy places the organism in Eukaryota, Metazoa, Chordata, Mammalia, Primates, Cebidae. The record is from RefSeq and is a predicted model, not a curated record.
AGUAAAGUACCAACUAAGCCACCUCAACAAGCCUGCAGUAUGGGACAUUCUCCAAUGACUUCUUCAGUCACUCCUACUCUUUCAUUCAUUCUGCAUGUGUUUUCCAAGUGCCUACAAGUCCUAGGAGCUGUGCCGGAUGCUGGGUGCUCAGGGUUGAUGAAUAUUUUGCACACACACUUGUUUAGUCUGGUAGGAGAAACAGAGGUCAAUCAAACAGCUCACAAAUUAAAAUUGACCUACAGUGGGGAUAAGGACUACAAGAAAGCCUGGGGCUGGGAAAAAGGAGAAGAGGAAGAUCAAGCCGCAGAUACGGAGCACUGCAGACAGUGGUGUAAGGUGAAGCUGGAGGAGUGAAUGGAGCUAUGCUGUGCUGGGUCUUGUAGCUGGAGUCACUGAUUUGAGCUAUAUUGCCCCCAGACACUGGACCUAAGAAAGCAGAGGAAAAGUUUUCCCUCCUUAAUAACAGUAAUGGGAGCCUAGAUCAAUCACACCGCCACGUGGCUGCUCUGAGAAUCGGAUACACAGCCCCCUGGCUUCCAUACCACUGUGAAAACACUUUGCAACAGAAAAUGACCACCAGGCUGGAGUGCAAUGGCAUAAUCUCAGCUCACCGCAACGUCUGCCUCCUGGGUUCAAGCGAUUCUUCUGCCUCAGCCUCCUGAGUAGCUGGGAUUACAGGCACCUACCGCCACGCCUGGCGAAUUUUUUUUUGUAUGUGUGUGGUUUUUUUUUUUUUUAGACAGUCUUGCUGUGUCACCCAGGCUGGAGUGUAGUGGCACGAUCUUGGCUCACUGCAACCUCUGACUCCCAGGUUCAAGUGAUUCUCCUGCCUCAGGUAGCUGGGACUAAACGUGCCUGCCACCAUGCCCAGCAAGGUUUUGUAUUUCUAGUAGAGACGGUGCGGGUGGAUUUCACUAUGUUGGCCCGGCUGGUCUUCAACUCCUGAUCUCCCACCUCAACCUGCCAAAGUGCUGGGAUUACAGACAUGCACCACCAUGCCCAGCCUCUGAAGAAUGUUAAGUACAAAAAAUGAAGCCCAGGUGCAGUGGCUCACGCCUGUAAUCCCAGCACUUUGGAAGGCCGAAGCGGGCAGACCAUGAGGUCAGGAGUUUGAUACCAGCCUGACCAACACAGUGAAACACCAUCUCUACUAAAAAUACAAAAAUUAGCUGGGCGUGGUGGUGUGCACCUGUAAUUCCAGCUACUCGGGAGGCUGAGGCAGGAGAAUCACUUGAACCGAGGAGGUGGAGGGUGCAGUGAGCAGAGAUCACACCACUGCACUCCAGCCUGGGCGACAGAGCAAGGCUCCAUCUCAAAAAGAAAAAUUAAUUGAGGAGAAUUUAUUUUUAUUGACUACAAACUGUUUGGCCAUUCCCAAACCCAAAGAAGCCAUGCUGUGCCACCUGCUGGUUUUUGUCUGCACUGACCUCAGUGUCAAAGGAGACCACUUCUGAACUAGCAGCUGGAGCUUUCCUGGCAGAGGAAGCAAUUUCACGUAGCGCAGUCCUGACGGCUGGAAACUUGCUGCUGUUGAGAACUGAGAUCUCGUUGCCUGUGAGGAACAUAUAGAUGAUAUGCAAACUUUGAAGCUAAAAGUACCAGUCCCUUCAUGAUGGGCUGUUCAGAAGGUCUUUCUAUUCUGAAGCCUACACUAGAAGGUUUUCAGAUGAAGAACCUGGUGCAGAGAUUAAAUGAUCCCCAGGACAGGGCAAGGCAGAGCAGACCCUCCUGAACUCAGGUCUG